UUGCAGGGGAUAGGUAAAUUUCUCAAGGUUAUAGGUUGGGGUUCUUAGAACAUUUUGUGGUGUGUGUUGGCCUAGAGCGACUCAGAAGUGUUAGUCACCUCACCUAAAGAAGCUAACCUCUCUGCUGAGCGCGACCGGCAUGUGGCGCAGGAUGAGCCUCAGGGCUUCUGGUAAGAGCCCGUCUGAGAAAGCCGGUCUGCGCUGUUCCUCGGUGGCGACCUUAAUUAUGAGAUGAGCUAAUGCUUUACUGACUUACCAUGGCGCAGCGGGCAGUGUGGCUCAUAAGCCACGAACCGGGAACUCCACUUUGUGGCACCGUGAGAUUCUCCAGACGGUAUCCAACUGUUGAAAAACGAGCCAGAGUCUUCAGUGGAGCAAGUUAUGUGCCUGUUCCCGAAGAUGGUCCCUUUCUUAAAGCACUGCUCUUUGAACUUAGAUUAUUGGAUGAUGAUAAAGACUUUGUUGAGAGUCGUGAUAGCUGUUCACGCAUCAAUAAAACAUCCAUUUAUGGAAUCCUGAUAGGAGGUGAAGAACUCUGGCCAGUUGUUGCUUUUCUGAAGAAUGACAUGAUAUAUGCCUGUGUUCCAGUAGUUGAACAAAGUCUGUCACCUUGACCACCAUUAAUUAUUGUUAGUGGAGUUUCACAAGGCUUUGAAUUUCUUUUUGGGUUACAGGAUUUUCUUUAUUCAGGUCAAAAAAAUGACUCUGAGCUACAUACAAAAUUGAGCCAGUUGCCUGACUUGCUUCUGCAAGCUUGUCCAUUUGGUACUUUACUAGAUGCCAACUUACAGAAUUCAUUAGAUAAUACCAACUUUGCAUCUGUGACUCAGCCACAAAAACAGCCAGCUUGGAAAACUGGAACGUACAAAGGAAAACCACAAGUUUCUAUUUCUAUCACUGAAAAGGUAAAAUCCAUGCAAUAUGAUAAACAGGGUGUCGCGGAUACAUGGCAAGUUGUUGGAACAGUGACUUGCAAGUGUGAUUUGGAAGGAAUCAUGCCAAAUGUUACCAUCAGCUUGAGUCUCCCCACCAAUGGAUCUCCACUUCAGGAUAUUCUAGUUCAUCCUUGUGUAACUUCUCUUGACUCUGCAAUUCUGACUUCUAGUAGUAUUGAUGCAAUGGAUGACUCUGCAUUUAGUGGGCCUUACAAAUUUCCAUUCACUCUACCUUUAGAGUCAUUCAGCUUAUGCUACUACACUUCCCAGGUCCCUGUCCCACCAAUUUUGGGUUUUUAUCAAAUGAAGGAGGAAGAAGUACAACUAAGAAUAACCAUUAAUUUAAAACUUCAUGAAAGUGUGAAAAAUAAUUUUGAAUUCUGUGAAGCCCAUAUACCUUUUUACAAUAGAGGUCCAAUUACACAUUUGGAAUACAAAACUAGUUUUGGCCAGCUCGAAGUAUUUCGAGAGAAAAGCUUAUUGAUCUGGAUUAUUGGCCAGAAGUUCCCAAAAUCAAUGGAAAUUAGUCUUUCUGGAACUGUAACUUUUGGAGCCAAGAGCCAUGAGAAGCAGCAAUUUGACCCAAUUUGUAUUGGACAAACAGCAUAUUUAAAGCUUCAUUUUAGGAUCUUAGAUUACACACUUACUGGAUGUUAUGCAGAUCAGCAUUCAGUUCAAGUUUUUGCAUCAGGAAAACCAAAAAUAAGUGCACACCGGAAACUAAUUUCUUCUGAUUAUUACAUCUGGAAUUCGAAAGCCCCUGCUCCAGUAACAUAUGGAUCAUUAUUAUUGUAAUAGUCUCAUGUUUAAAUGGGAUUAUAUAAUGAUAACAGUUUAAAGAAAAUCAUAAUCUUAUAUUUUUGAUGUGGAUGCAUAUAACCUGUGAGUGAAAAAUCACUCAAUGAUUUAAUUGUAAAAGUAGUCUCAUGUACUGUUUGUAGUCUGGUAGAGCUUGAAAGGACGUUUUAAAAGCUAAUGUCUCCAAUUUUGUUAACCUUCGAUUUUAUGCCAGUAUAAUUCUGAACAUAGAAAAAUAGUGAUUCACUUGGGCUCAUUUUAGACUAGUCCUGGGUCACCCUGCCACACUUGUUUUCUAGUGUUUCUGUGGCAGAUAUUGCUAAUCAAUUACAGCCCUUUUCUGUACUGAGCCUUGGAUAAAGGGUCAGGCUCCUUUUCAGUUCAGAGAUUCAGGCAGCCACUCCCAGUGGGUUGUAGAUAACAUGCAAGAUAAAAACUAUUUUCUCUUCCAAAUCUAAGUACUAAGCUCCUAGUAUAAGGUGUUGUUACAGAAUACCAGAGACCAUGUUAGAAACAACUACAUCUCUUCAAAAAACAGCCAACAGAGACAAAGGAAAAGUGUUUAAAUAGUAGCCUGUUCUUCUUAAUCAGAACUAUCCUAUUGACUAAUAAAGAAUCUGCAUAAUUCUA
RNA transcript from Nomascus leucogenys (northern white-cheeked gibbon), 2363 nucleotides. It is a transcript of the gene named AP-5 complex subunit mu-1 pseudogene, with no coding region annotated. Lineage: Eukaryota; Metazoa; Chordata; Mammalia; Primates; Hylobatidae. The record is from RefSeq and is a predicted model, not a curated record. The transcript has a single exon.